GCGGCGCUAGUGCAGUGGUUAGCAUGCGCCCCUGAAAGGGUUAGAUGCAGGUUCGAAUCCUGCUCGACGGU
This is a non-coding RNA of Parelaphostrongylus tenuis, 71 nucleotides long. The record is from the annotation of a GenBank genome assembly. Lineage: Eukaryota; Metazoa; Nematoda; Chromadorea; Rhabditida; Metastrongylidae.